ACGAACGCUGGCGGCGCGCCUAACACAUGCAAGUCGAACGGAGUCAAGAGGAGCUUGCUUUUCUUGACUUAGUGGCGAACGGGUGAGUAACGCGUGAGUAACCUGCCCUGGAGUGGGGGACAACAGUUGGAAACGACUGCUAAUACCGCAUAAGCCCACGGAUCUGCAUGGAUCUGCGGGAAAAGGAUUUAUUCGCUCUAGGAUGGACUCGCGUCCAAUUAGCUAGUUGGUGAGGUAACGGCCCACCAAGGCGACGAUUGGUAGCCGGACUGAGAGGUUGAACGGCCACAUUGGGACUGAGACACGGCCCAGACUCCUACGGGAGGCAGCAGUGGGGGAUAUUGCACAAUGGGGGAAACCCUGAUGCAGCGACGCCGCGUGGAGGAAGAAGGUUUUCGGAUUGUAAACUCCUGUCGUUAGGGACGAUAAUGACGGUACCUAACAAGAAAGCACCGGCUAACUACGUG
Molecule: ribosomal RNA, 467 nt
Filed under: uncultured bacterium
Lineage: Bacteria
Description: partial 16S ribosomal RNA
Rfam family: Bacterial small subunit ribosomal RNA
Source: RNAcentral